Long non-coding RNA from Nasonia vitripennis (jewel wasp), 791 nucleotides. RefSeq lists it as uncharacterized. The transcript has 2 exons. The record is from RefSeq and is a predicted model, not a curated record. NCBI's taxonomy places the organism in Eukaryota, Metazoa, Arthropoda, Insecta, Hymenoptera, Pteromalidae.
UUGUUAAUUUUUAGAUAUAAGUUACAAUUUUCAGAACCAUAAUCUAGUAAGCGGCCAGUUUGAACGGCAAUUAGGACAAUUUAAACGCGUGCUCAUUGUGCAAAUAAAAAGUAUAAUCCAUACAAAUUCUUUACGUGACAGAUCGUGUAAGAAGUUUAUUCGGGCUGCUGGUCAACUUGCCAACCUCUCCUACAUCCUGCUGCGAAUCCUUUUCCAUCGGCGCGAUCCCAUACUACUCCUACUCAGUGAAUUUGCUCUCUACCUUCUAAUCAGCUUGUUUUUGACGAAUCGUCAAUACAGAAGAUGAAUACGCAAGAUCCGUUACAUAGCCCAGUACCGAAGUGGCCAACAAGGUUGAACUCAGCGACUUUGCAGAUACCGUAACCAAAGGUUGCUGUUCAAUAGUUUAACGCGAAGAUGCAAACGUCUGCUCAAGCCACAGCUAGCCAUCGCAACUAAAUGCUGCAGAAGUUUUCUACAAGCAUCAUUAUAGGAAACGAUAAUGAUGUUCGAGAUGAUCAGUUGGCUACACCCGGACGUAAGAAAAUCGGUACGGGGAGACGCAGCUCAUGUUAAACUGCUAUAAAAGCAAAUUUCUAGUUCGUCAGCUAACACCUGCAAAGCUCUAGCAGACUUGCAAUACGACAAAGACAAACGCACACUCACACUUGAGCAAAAAAUUCAUGCGUAAUUGGCAUAGCUAUAACACUGUCAGUCAUAAAUCGAUGAACUUUUCAUUUAACUUGAUCCUGUAAGUGAUUUAUAAUGAAAAUAAAAUUUGUAAUAAAGAA